RNAcentral lists this ribosomal RNA (447 nucleotides) under uncultured bacterium. RNAcentral describes it as "partial 16S ribosomal RNA". It matches the Rfam family "Bacterial small subunit ribosomal RNA", at positions 29 to 523 of the family's 1533-position model. The record is from RNAcentral.
AGCGAACGCUGGCGGCAGGCCUAACACAUGCAAGUCGAGCGCCCCGCAAGGGGAGCGGCAGACGGGAGAGUAACACGUGGGAACGUACCCUUCAGUUCUGAACAACCCAGGGAAACUUGGGCUAAUACCGAAUACGUCCGUAAGGAGAAAGAUUUAUCGCUGAAGGAUCGGCCCGCGUCUGAUUAGCUAGUUGGUGAGGUAACGGCUCACCAAGGCGACGAUCAGUAGCUGGUCUGAGAGGAUGAUCAGCCUCACUGGGACUGAGACACGGCCCAGACUCCUACGGGAGGCAGCAGUGGGGAAUAUUGGACAAUGGGCGCAAGCCUGAUCCAGCCAUGCCGCGUGGAUGAUGAAGGCCCUAGGGUUGUAAAGUCCUUUUAACGGGGAAGAUAAUGACGGUACCCGUAGAAUAAGCCCCGGCUAACUUCGUGCCAGCAGCCGCCGUAA